GCGGAGGGAUCAUUACUGAGUUUACGCUCUACAACCCUUUGUGAACAUACCUAUAACUGUUGCUUCGGCGGGUAGGGUCUCCGCGACCCUCCCGGCCUCCCGCCUCCGGGCGGGUCGGCGCCCGCCGGAGGAUAACCAAACUCUGAUUUAACGACGUUUCUUCUGAGUGGUACAAGCAAAUAAUCAAAACUUUUAACAACGGAUCUCUUGGUUCUGGCAUCGAUGAAGAACGCAGCGAAAUGCGAUAAGUAAUGUGAAUUGCAGAAUUCAGUGAAUCAUCGAAUCUUUGAACGCACAUUGCGCCCGCCAGCAUUCUGGCGGGCAUGCCUGUUCGAGCGUCAUUUCAACCCUCAAGCUCUGCUUGGUGUUGGGGCCCUACAGCUGAUGUAGGCCCUCAAAGGUAGUGGCGGACCCUCUCGGAGCCUCCUUUGCGUAGUAACUUUACGUCUCGCACUGGGAUCCGGAGGGACUCUUGCCGUAAAACCCCCAAUUUUCCAAAGGUUGACCUCGGAUCAGGUAGGAAUACCCGCUGAACUUAAGCAUAUCA
Molecule: ribosomal RNA, 547 nt
Filed under: Colletotrichum sp. MTCC 4618
Lineage: Eukaryota; Fungi; Ascomycota; Sordariomycetes; Glomerellales; Glomerellaceae
Description: eukaryotic LSU rRNA
Rfam family: 5.8S ribosomal RNA (bases 188-341)
Source: RNAcentral